Molecule: long non-coding RNA, 1363 nt
Filed under: Homo sapiens (human)
Lineage: Eukaryota; Metazoa; Chordata; Mammalia; Primates; Hominidae
Description: HSALNT0356301
Source: RNAcentral
GGCUGAGGAAGUUGCCUCUCUCUGGCGCCUGCAUUCAAUGAACGUUUGUAAUGUUAGCAGGUGUGGACCUUGAGGAGAUUUUCUCUCCCUGGCUGCCCAAUUAUCAUUUUUAGAGAGGCAAUGCGAUAAUUGCUGAACGAUGUCACCUGACAUUCCUAGCGGGUGGGAGAGAGCCCUCUCCUGCCCCGCUCAUUGCCUAACUACCUGUAACAGGUGUGUGGGUGAGUGCUCCCUGUGAUGGAACGGUGUCCUGUUCAGGACUGGGUGCCACCUGGCACCUUGAGCUGCCAGGACCGGCUCGGGCUGCUCGCGAUCCCAAACUAGAACAAAUGGAAAUGUUCAGUUGUCUAGCUCACAGGGAUAUCCACAAGCCAGACCCAGAAAGCCUUUGCUACCAUUGAUGAAGAUGCCAAGUCCACAGCCCAACAGCCAGAAGACCCUUGGUCUAGCCCUUGGAUUCAGACUGAAUUGAUAUCGCCAGGUUUCCUGUCUUUUCAGCUUGCAGGCAGCUGAUUGUGGGACUUCUCAGCCUCCUUAAUCAUAUUUUCUUAUCAUUGGCCUUCAACAUUUUUAUCAGGAUAUAUCUGUGUAUAUUGCAGAUUUUACAAAUUGAAGGUUUGUGACAACUCCCUCAAGGAAGUCUGUUGGUGUUAUUUUUCCAACAGCAGGUACUCACUUCAUGUCUCUGUGUCACAUUUUGGCCUUUAAACCAAGAGAAGACAUACCUGAGCAAUUGAACCAGAAGGGAUGAGCCCCACCUGGAUCUGAUGCAGAUUAAAAUAUCUUGGACCUUGGGCCUGAGCUUGGAAUGGAAUGAGACCUUUGAGGAUCUUAGUGGGGAAUCCCCUUGUCAUAAAACCAAUGCAUAAGAUACAACUGCAUCCAAUGUAUUCCAGGGAAAGAUUCUCUGCAGAUGACUCAAGGAAAGCCACAGGAGCAACAGGGAAACUGAAAGAACAAAUAUCACAGUUGAUUCAGAAGGGCAGCCCCACAUUUUUAAGUGAUACCCAACCAUUGUGAACAAGCUCUGUCAACACCAUCUGCUCCACAAAGGAAAGUUGCUGAUUAUUGCAUCUCUAAGUGGAGUCGGUUCUCUCCCACGAUAGCAGAAGGCUUUCACAUUCACUAUACUGUUAUGGACAUGGAGGAUGGGAACCAUUGCUUUGUUUACUCUGCAACUUCUUAAUUAUAUCACAAAAGACUCGACACAUAAGCAGUAUCCAGAAAAGCAAGUCGACUACAUAAAAAUCAAUGCAUGAUUGUCUAUAGCCUUUGACAUACUAGGACCAGUCAAGAUAUGUGUGGAGGGUAAUGAAGAAUGGGCAAAUACCAGAGAAAAGACAGCUGAGUGUCCAUGAUAAAG